Molecule: unclassified non-coding RNA, 391 nt
Filed under: soil metagenome
Description: partial contains 5.8S ribosomal RNA, internal transcribed spacer 2, and large subunit ribosomal RNA
Rfam family: 5.8S ribosomal RNA (bases 1-122)
Source: RNAcentral
GAUGAAGAACGCAGCGAAAUGCGAUACUUGGUGUGAAUUGCAGAAUCCCGUGAACCAUCGAGUCUUUGAACGCAAGUUGCGCCCGAAGCCAUUAGGCCGAGGGCACGCCUGCCUGGGCGUCACACGUCGUUGCCCCCCCAUCUACUCCUUCGGUAUUGCGGGGGGCGGAUGAUGGCCUCCCGUGCGCCUCGUCGCGCGGUUGGCAUAAAUGCCAAGUCCUCGGCGACGCACGCCACGACAAUCGGUGGUUGCGAAACCUCGGUUGCCCGUCGUGUGCGGUCGUCGCGCAUCGAGGGCUCGAAAAAAUUGCCGGGCUCCGGCUCGGCUUUCAACGCGACCCCAGGUCAGGCGGGGUUACCCGCUGAAUUUAAGCAUAUCAAUAAGCGGAGGA